RNAcentral lists this ribosomal RNA (401 nucleotides) under uncultured Ascomycota. Its description in RNAcentral is "eukaryotic LSU rRNA". The stretch from base 346 to 401 matches the Rfam family "Eukaryotic large subunit ribosomal RNA", at positions 1 to 56 of the family's 3401-position model. The record is from RNAcentral. Lineage: Eukaryota; Fungi; Ascomycota.
CAUAGUAGUGGUGAAUCAUCGAAUCUUUGAACGCACCUUGCACUUUUAGAGUCAAUCUAAAAGUAUACCUGUUUGAGUAUCAUAAACAUUUAUCCAAGCAAUUGGGAUUUGAAGUUUAACGAAUUUUUGUUAUUCUUUUAAAUGCAUUGAGGAAAUGGAAUAAAGGCAGCUUUAUUCUUGAGUGAGGAUAUUUGCAUUCGUGCAAAGUAAUCAUGAAAGAGUAUAUGUUGACCAUGAUUCCGAUAUAUUUUCUUUAGAGGGAGGAGAAGAGCAAAGCAAAGCAAAGCGUGAGGGUUACCCCAGGCCAAGUGAUAUGCCAUCUUUUCUCAUCCCCAGGCACAAAUGUGAUCUCAAAUCAGGCAAGACUACCCGCUGAACUUAAGCAUAUCAAUAAGCGGAGG